UCUCUUGUGGCUUAGUUGCCAGAGCAUUGGCGCGUAAAGCCAAAGGUCCCGGGUUCGAUUCCCGGCAAGGGUG
This 73-nucleotide transfer RNA is filed under the name Agrilus planipennis (emerald ash borer). It matches the Rfam family "tRNA". From Rfam's summary of the family: Transfer RNA (tRNA) molecules are approximately 80 nucleotides in length. Lineage: Eukaryota; Metazoa; Arthropoda; Insecta; Coleoptera; Buprestidae. The record is from Rfam by way of RNAcentral.